This 497-nucleotide ribosomal RNA is filed under the name uncultured bacterium. RNAcentral describes it as "partial 16S ribosomal RNA". It matches the Rfam family "Bacterial small subunit ribosomal RNA", at positions 28 to 507 of the family's 1533-position model. The record is from RNAcentral.
GAUGAACGCUGGCGGCGUGCCUAAUACAUGCAAGUCGAGCGAACAGACGAGGAGCUUGCUCCUCUGACGUUAGCGGCGGACGGGUGAGUAACACGUGGAUAACCUACCUAUAAGACUGGGAUAACUUCGGGAAACCGGAGCUAAUACCGGAUAAUAUAUUGAACCGCAUGGUUCAAUAGUGAAAGACGGUUUUGCUGUCACUUAUAGAUGGAUCCUCGCCGCAUUAGCUAGUUGGUAAGGUAACGGCUUACCAAGGCAACGAUGCGUAGCCGACCUGAGAGGGUGGUCGACCACGCUGGAAGUGAGGAGCGGUCCAGACUCCGACGGGAGGCAGCAGUAGGGAAUUGUGCGCAAUGGGCGGAAACCUGACAGAGGAAGGCCGGGUGGGUGAUGAAGGUCUUCGAGACGUAAAACGAUGUUAUUAGGGAAGAAAAAAUGUGUAAGUAACUAUGCACGUCUUGACGGUACCUAAUCAGAAAGGCACGGCUAACUUCGUG